UACUUAACUCAAAAACCUUAUUGUAAAAUUAGCAGUUGGAUUUACUCAAAAUGACAGACCCAACCAGCCUAACUCUCCAUUUCUUAAGUAAUACAGUUUUUGUUUCAGAUAUCAAGUGGUAAUCUUGAUCCCUUCCUUGGAUAAUUCUCACAUUGAGAUUAUUUAUAAAACUCACUUGACAGUAUCUCAAUGGAUCCUUGGACCAACAGGAAAGAUCAGUGGCCUCUUGAGUCCCAAACUCCCAAUAGUCAUCACAUCUGCUGCCAGACUCAUUCCAACUGAGUGAUAAAUUCACUGACAAGUCUGCUAUUCAAAUUUCACUAAUACAAGGAAAUUCUUCUACAGCAAAAGGCUUUUUUGGGAAGAGAAUAGUUGAAACCGUGAAUGACUGAGAAACAGAUCAUGCAAUCUUCAACACCCUCAAAACGUUUGUCUACAUUAUUCUUCCAUAACGCUAAGCCUUCCAUAAUACUUCCAUUCUGUUAAUAAGAAAAAAAUAAAUUUAAUAAAUUAAUAAAUCAAUAUA
Molecule: non-coding RNA, 526 nt
Organism: Vicugna pacos (alpaca)
Lineage: Eukaryota; Metazoa; Chordata; Mammalia; Artiodactyla; Camelidae
Source: RefSeq, a predicted model, not a curated record